AGAGACUUAGGAUAACUGAAAGACCAAGAGCCUUCAAAGCCCUAAGUGGGGGUUAAAUUCCCCCAGUCUCUG
RNAcentral lists this transfer RNA (72 nucleotides) under Kathetostoma averruncus. Its description in RNAcentral is "tRNA-Trp". It matches the Rfam family "tRNA". From Rfam's summary of the family: Transfer RNA (tRNA) molecules are approximately 80 nucleotides in length. Their secondary structure includes four short double-helical elements and three loops (D, anti-codon, and T loops). The record is from RNAcentral. Lineage: Eukaryota; Metazoa; Chordata; Actinopteri; Uranoscopiformes; Uranoscopidae. RNAcentral also lists the same sequence under 1 other name.